UAGGGGAAUUUGUUGUUAAUAAAAGCUGCUAACUUUUUUUAGUGGAAUUAGAACUCUACUCCUCUUU
This 67-nucleotide transfer RNA is filed under the name Crenobia alpina. RNAcentral describes it as "tRNA-Ser". The record is from RNAcentral. Lineage: Eukaryota; Metazoa; Platyhelminthes; Tricladida; Planariidae.